This 500-nucleotide ribosomal RNA is filed under the name uncultured bacterium. RNAcentral describes it as "partial 16S ribosomal RNA". It matches the Rfam family "Bacterial small subunit ribosomal RNA", at positions 29 to 523 of the family's 1533-position model. The record is from RNAcentral.
AUUGAACGCUGGCGGCAUGCCUUACACAUGCAAGUCGAACGGCAGCACGGGAGCAAUCCUGGUGGCGAGUGGCGAACGGGUGAGUAAUACAUCGGAACGUGCCCAGUAGUGGGGGAUAGCCCGGCGAAAGCCGGAUUAAUACCGCAUACGACCUACGGGUGAAAGCGGGGGAUCGCAAGACCUCGCGCUAUUGGAGCGGCCGAUGUCAGAUUAGCUAGUUGGUGGGGUAAAGGCCUACCAAGGCGACGAUCUGUAGCUGGUCUGAGAGGACGACCAGCCACACUGGGACUGAGACACGGCCCAGACUCCUACGGGAGGCAGCAGUGGGGAAUUUUGGACAAUGGGCGCAAGCCUGAUCCAGCCAUGCCGCGUGUGGGAAGAAGGCCUUCGGGUUGUAAACCACUUUUGUCAGGGAAGAAACGGCUCUUACUAAUAUUAGGAGCUAAUGACGGUACCUGAAGAAUAAGCACCGGCUAACUACGUGCCAGCAGCCGCGGUAA